Molecule: ribosomal RNA, 475 nt
Filed under: uncultured bacterium
Lineage: Bacteria
Description: SSU rRNA
Rfam family: Bacterial small subunit ribosomal RNA
Source: RNAcentral
AGGACGAACGCUGGCGGCGUGCUUAACACAUGCAAGUCGAGCGGAAAGGCCCUUCGGGGUACUCGAGCGGCGAACGGGUGAGUAACACGUGAGCAACCUGCCCUUAGCUCCGGGAUAGCUCCGGGAAACCGGAAUUAAUACCGGAUAUGACCUAGGCCGACAUCGGCUGUGGUGGAAAGUUUUUCGGCUGGGGAUGGACUCGCGGCCCAUCAGCUUGUUGGUGGGGUAAUGGCCUACCAAGGCGACGACGGGUAGCCGGCCUGAGAGGGCGACCGGCCACGACUGGGACUGAGACACGGCCCAGACUCCUACGGGAGGCAGUAGUGGGGAAUCUUGCGCAAUGGGCGAAAGCCUGACGCAGCGACGCCGCGUGGGGGAUGAAGGCCUUCGGGCUGUAAACCCCUUUCAGCAGGGACGAAGCGAAAGUGACGGUACCUGCAGAAGAAGCGCCGGCUAACUACGUGCCAGCAGCCGC